UAAGUUGUGCUUGACUCCCUCAAUGGGUAUU
This 31-nucleotide non-coding RNA is filed under the name Mus musculus (house mouse). Lineage: Eukaryota; Metazoa; Chordata; Mammalia; Rodentia; Muridae. The record is from RNAcentral.